Molecule: ribozyme, 250 nt
Organism: Esox lucius (northern pike)
Lineage: Eukaryota; Metazoa; Chordata; Actinopteri; Esociformes; Esocidae
Rfam family: RNase MRP
About the family: RNase MRP is an enzymatically active ribonucleoprotein with two distinct roles in eukaryotes. In mitochondria it plays a direct role in the initiation of mitochondrial DNA replication.
Source: Ensembl
GGGCAUUCGGAAGGCUUGUUAACUAGGCUACUAGCAGAGAACGCUGUUUCUCCAUUAUCGCCUAGGGGAAAGUCCCCGGACACGCGGCAGAAAGUGCCCUGCUUGAUUGCAGUUACGUGGCUUGUGCGUUACUAUCUGUAGCUGAGAUGUUCUGAUGAACUGAGCUUGGUACUCACAGGUCUCCUUUGUCAGUGCGAAAGUCAUGCAAGUGCUAACGCAUCAACAGAACGGGGCUUAUUCUCAGAAUGCU